Molecule: ribosomal RNA, 748 nt
Filed under: uncultured bacterium
Lineage: Bacteria
Description: bacterial SSU rRNA
Rfam family: Bacterial small subunit ribosomal RNA
Source: RNAcentral
CUUGCACUAGAUGAAACUAUGUAGAAGCGAGCGGCGGACGGGUGAGUAACACGUGGGUAACCUGCCCAAGAGACUGGGAUAACACCUGGAAACAGAUGCUAAUACCGGAUAACAACACUAGACGCAUGUCUAGAGUUUGAAAGAUGGUUCUGCUAUCACUCUUGGAUGGACCUGCGGUGCAUUAGCUAGUUGGUAAGGUAACGGCUUACCAAGGCAAUGAUGCAAAGCCGAGUUGAGAGACUGAUCGGCCACAUUGGGACUGAGACACGGCCCAAACUCCUACGGGAGGCAGCAGUAGGGAAUCUUCCACAAUGGACGAAAGUCUGAUGGAGCAACGCCGCGUGAGUGAAGAAGGGUUUCGGCUCGUAAAGCUCUGUUGGUAGUGAAGAAAGAUAGAGGUAGUAACUGGCCUUUAUUUGACGGUAAUUACUUAGAAAGUCACGGCUAACUACGUGCCAGCAGCCGCGGUAAUACGUAGGUGGCAAGCGUUGUCCGGAUUUAUUGGGCGUAAAGCGAGUGCAGGCGGUUCAAUAAGUCUGAUGUGAAAGCCUUCGGCUCAACCGGAGAAUUGCAUCAGAAACUGUUGAACUUGAGUGCAGAAGAGGAGAGUGGAACUCCAUGUGUAGCGGUGGAAUGCGUAGAUAUAUGGAAGAACACCAGUGGCGAAGGCGGCUCUCUGGUCCGCAACUGACGCUGAGGCUCGAAAGCAUGGGUAGCGAACAGGAUUAGAUACCCUGGUAGUCCAUGC